CGGACCGGCGCACGGGUGCUUAACGCGUAUGCAACCUACCCAUAACAGGGGGAUAACACUGAGAAAUUGGUACUAAUACCCCAUAAUAUCAUAGAAGGCAUCUUUUAUGGUUGAAAAUUCCGAUGGUUAGAGAUGGGCAUGCGUUGUAUUAGCUAGUUGGUGGGGUAACGGCUCACCAAGGCGACGAUACAUAGGGGGACUGAGAGGUUAACCCCCCACACUGGUACUGAGACACGGACCAG
Molecule: ribosomal RNA, 242 nt
Filed under: uncultured bacterium
Lineage: Bacteria
Description: partial 16S ribosomal RNA
Rfam family: Bacterial small subunit ribosomal RNA
Source: RNAcentral